GUUUGAUAGUAUAAAAGAAAAUGCUAUUUCUUAUUCUGUUAGACCUGGCCUUUGGACAUCUUAAUCUCCAUCGAGAGGGGAGAAAUUUGCCAUCUUCAGAUUUAACAGACCAAGUAGAGUAGAAGUAGAAGUUGUAGACAGAAUAGUGUGAGAAGAACAUAGCAUAACACGGGUUCCAUAUAAAAUAUAAGGUGAUGCCAAUAAUACAGUAAUAGUAACGAUGAUAGCAAUAAUUAAAGUAUUAACUGCUAACGUAGCACUAAAACUAAUAGCAGUAUAAGUAAUUUCUAAUUCUAGCAGCAGGUGUUGAGUGGAGUUGUAGGAGCAGCAGGAGACUUGUCAUCGCAGAUCAGACUCUACAGCUCCAGAGGAAGAAAUACCUGCAGAAAGAGACAGAA
Molecule: long non-coding RNA, 398 nt
Organism: Lates calcarifer (barramundi perch)
Lineage: Eukaryota; Metazoa; Chordata; Actinopteri; Centropomidae
Exons: 2
Source: RefSeq, a predicted model, not a curated record